UGGGGAAUAUUGGACAAUGGGCGAAAGCCUGAUCCAGCCAUGCCGCGUGAGUGACGAAGGCCUUAGGGUUGUAAAACUCUUUCGUCGGGGACGAUAAUGACGGUACCCGAAGAAGAAGCUCCGGCUAACUUCGUGCCAGCAGCCGCGGUAAUACGAAGGGAGCUAGCGUUGCUCGGAAUCACUGGGCGUAAAGCGCACGUAGGCGGAUAGUUAAGUCAGGGGUGAAAUCCUGGGGCUCAACCCCAGAACUGCCUUUGAUACUGGCUGUCUCGAGGUCGAGAGAGGUUGGUGGAAUUCCUAGUGUAGAGGUGAAAUUCGUAGAUAUUCGGAAGAACACCAGUGGCGAAGGCGGCUCACUGGACGUGUAUUGACGCUGAGGUACGAAAGCGUGGGGAGCAAACAGGAUUAGAUACCCCCGUAGUCCCUGAGCGGGCUGGCAAGGCGCAU
RNAcentral lists this ribosomal RNA (447 nucleotides) under uncultured bacterium. RNAcentral describes it as "bacterial SSU rRNA". It matches the Rfam family "Bacterial small subunit ribosomal RNA", at positions 355 to 825 of the family's 1533-position model. The record is from RNAcentral.